Molecule: ribosomal RNA, 125 nt
Filed under: Capronia americana
Lineage: Eukaryota; Fungi; Ascomycota; Eurotiomycetes; Chaetothyriales; Herpotrichiellaceae
Description: Phialophora americana partial large subunit ribosomal RNA
Rfam family: Eukaryotic large subunit ribosomal RNA
Source: RNAcentral
CGGCAACAGCUCAAAUUUGAAAUCUGGCCUCUCGGGGUCCGAGUUGUAAUUUGUAGAGGAUGUUUUGGGUACCGCCCCGGUCUAAAUUUCUUGGAACAGAAUGUCAAAGAGGGUGAGAAUCCCGU